RNAcentral lists this ribosomal RNA (490 nucleotides) under uncultured bacterium. Its description in RNAcentral is "partial 16S ribosomal RNA". It matches the Rfam family "Bacterial small subunit ribosomal RNA", at positions 30 to 507 of the family's 1533-position model. The record is from RNAcentral.
UGAACGCUGGCGGUAGGCCUACCACAUGCAAAUCGAACGGCAGCACAGUAAGAGCUUGCUCUUACGGGUGGCGAGUGGCGGACGGGUGAGGAAUACAUCGGAAUCUACUUUUUCGUGGGGGAUAACGUAGGGAAACUUACGCUAAUACCGCAUACGACCUACGGGUGAAAGCAGGGGAUCUUCGGACCUUGCGCGAUUGAAUGAGCCGAUGUCGGAUUAGCUAGUUGGCGGGGUAAAGGCCCACCAAGGCGACGAUCCGUAGCUGGUCUGAGAGGAUGAUCAGCCACACUGGAACUGAGACACGGUCCAGACUCCUACGGGAGGCAGCAGUGGGGAAUAUUGGACAAUGGGCGCAAGCCUGAUCCAGCCAUACCGCGUGGGUGAAGAAGGCCUUCGGGUUGUAAAGCCCUUUUGUUGGGAAAGAAAAGCAGCAGGUUAAUACCCCGCUGUUCUGACGGUACCCAAAGAAUAAGCACCGGCUAACUUCGUG